RNAcentral lists this non-coding RNA (28 nucleotides) under Rattus norvegicus (Norway rat). Lineage: Eukaryota; Metazoa; Chordata; Mammalia; Rodentia; Muridae. The record is from RNAcentral.
UUGCUGCUCACUUGUGCAGAGAGGUGGC